Molecule: ribosomal RNA, 356 nt
Filed under: uncultured bacterium
Lineage: Bacteria
Description: bacterial SSU rRNA
Rfam family: Bacterial small subunit ribosomal RNA
Source: RNAcentral
AGAGACGAGUCAGAGUUUGAUCCUGGCUCAGGACGAACGCUGGCGGCGUGCUUAACACAUGCAAGUCGAGCGGGGAUAUCAAACGGAAAGCUUCGGCCGGAAGUUUGGUAUUCUAGCGGCGGACGGGUGAGUAACGCGUGAACAAUCUGUCCCAGACAGGGGGAUAACACUUGGAAACAGGUGCUAAUACCGCAUAAGACCACGAGGUCGCAUGGCCAUGGGGUAAAAGGAGCAAUCCGGUUUGGGGUGAGUUCGCGUCCGAUUAGCUAGUUGGUGAGGUAACGGCCCACCAAGGCGACGAUCGGUAGCCGACCUGAGAGGGUGAUCGGCCACAUUGGAACUGAGACACGGUCCAA